ACGCUGGCGGCGUGCCUAAUACAUGCAAGUCGAACGAGAGCGACCGGUGCUUGCACUGGUCAAUCUAGUGGCGAACGGGUGAGUAACACGUGGGUAACCUGCCCAUCAGAGGGGGAUAACAUCCGGAAACGGAUGCUAAAACCGCAUAGGUCUUCGAACCGCAUGGUUUGAAGAGGAAAAGAGGCGCAAGCUUCUGCUGAUGGAUGGACCCGCGGUGCAUUAGCUAGUUGGUGAGGUAACGGCUCACCAAGGCCGUGAUGCAUAGCCGACCUGAGAGGGUGAUCGGCCACAUUGGGACUGAGACACGGCCCAAACUCCUACGGGAGGCAGCAGUAGGGAAUCUUCCGCAAUGGACGCAAGUCUGACGGAGCAACGCCGCGUGAGUGAAGAAGGUUUUCGGAUCGUAAAACUCUGUUGUUAGAGAAGAACAAGUGCUAGAGUAACUGUUAGCGCCUUGACGGUAUCUAACCAGAAAGCCACGGCUAACUACGUGCCAGCAGCCGCGGUAAUACGUAGGUGGCAAGCGUUGUCCGGAUUUAUUGGGCGUAAAGCGAGCGCAGGCGGUUCCUUAAGUCUGAUGUGAAAGCCCCCGGCUCAACCGGGGAGGGUCAUUGGAAACUGGGGAACUUGAGUGCAGAAGGGGAGAGUGGAAUUCCAUGUGUAGCGGUGAAAUGCGUAGAUAUAUGGAGGAACACCAGUGGCGAAGGCGACUCUCUGGUCUGUAACUGACGCUGAGGCUCGAAAGCGUGGGUAGCAAACAGGAUUAGAUACCCUGGUAGUCCACGCCGUAAACGAUGAGUGCUAAGUGUUGGAGGGUUUCCGCCCUUCAGUGCUGCAGUUAACGCAUUAAGCACUCCGCCUGGGGAGUACGACCGCAAGGUUGAAACUCAAAGGAAUUGACGGGGACCCG
Molecule: ribosomal RNA, 910 nt
Filed under: uncultured bacterium
Lineage: Bacteria
Description: bacterial SSU rRNA
Rfam family: Bacterial small subunit ribosomal RNA
Source: RNAcentral